AUGCACGCUGGCGGCGUGCCUCAUCCAUGCAAGUCGAGCGAACAGAUAAGGAGCUUGCUCCUUUGACGUUAGCGGCGGACGGGUGAGUAACACGUGGAUAACCUACCUAUAAGACUGGGAUAACUUCGGGAAACCGGAGCUAAUACCGGAUAACAUAUUGAACCGCAUGGUUCAAUAGUGAAAGGCGGCUUUGCUGUCACUUAUAGAUGGAUCCGCGCCGUAUUAGCUAGUUGGUAAGGUAACGGCUUACCAAGGCAACGAUACGUAGCCGACCUGAGAGGGUGAUCGGCCACACUGGAACUGAGACACGGUCCAGACUCCUACGGGAGGCAGCAGUAGGGAAUCUUCCGCAAUGGGCGAAAGCCUGACGGAGCAACGCCGCGUGAGUGAUGAAGGUCUUCGGAUCGUAAAACUCUGUUAUCAGGGAAGAACAAAUGUGUAAGUAACUGUGCACAUCUUGACGGUACCUGAUCAGAAAGCCACGGCUAACUACGUG
RNAcentral lists this ribosomal RNA (496 nucleotides) under uncultured bacterium. Its description in RNAcentral is "partial 16S ribosomal RNA". It matches the Rfam family "Bacterial small subunit ribosomal RNA", at positions 29 to 507 of the family's 1533-position model. The record is from RNAcentral.